GAUCGUUACACAGAGGGAAAGUUUUCCUUCAUCCCUCCGUCAUCAGAAGGAAAGAACGAACCAGAUCCAGGAAACAAUGAGAUGACAACAGAUUGGUGGUGGUACAUUCGUCUGGUUGUGGGUUUUGCAUCAAUCGUAACAUUGGUUGUGAUUCUCAUCAGAUGCAGAAGAAACAAGAUCCAGGGUGGUGAUGUUGCAGUGGCCUUCAGCACUGUGGAAGCUCCCUCCUCUUCUACUGGACCCUCAGCUGAUCCCAGCAGCCUCUAUGAGAACGUCACAAUCAUACAAUAGUAGAGUCACAUUUGACAUCGAUAUAUUUAUAUCAGGAAUCAUUUGUUACAACUUUCUGCUGUGAAAACAAAGUCACUCGUAAUAAUGUGAUUCUCAUUAGAUAGAAAAGAAACGAAGGUGGGAACAUUCCCAGAGGAAACUUUGAUUUAGUUUAAACUUCUGC
Limanda limanda (common dab) is the source of this 454-nucleotide long non-coding RNA. RefSeq lists it as uncharacterized. Lineage: Eukaryota; Metazoa; Chordata; Actinopteri; Pleuronectiformes; Pleuronectidae. The record is from RefSeq and is a predicted model, not a curated record. The transcript is spliced from 4 exons.